UGUUAAAAAUUCUAUCCAUUUGUAUUGUUAAAAUUUGGCGUAGCUAAAGGAAUAACCAAACAAUGGCACGUGACAUGACACAUGUAUCUCAUACUAAUGUAUAGAGAUUAAUUUUUAACAGAAGAACCAAUUUACUCUUUGAUU
Gossypium hirsutum (cotton) is the source of this 144-nucleotide non-coding RNA. The record is from Rfam. Lineage: Eukaryota; Viridiplantae; Streptophyta; Magnoliopsida; Malvales; Malvaceae.